Molecule: ribosomal RNA, 1476 nt
Filed under: uncultured Bordetella sp.
Lineage: Bacteria; Pseudomonadati; Pseudomonadota; Betaproteobacteria; Burkholderiales; Alcaligenaceae
Description: partial 16S-23S ribosomal RNA intergenic spacer
Rfam family: Bacterial small subunit ribosomal RNA
Source: RNAcentral
UCCUGGCUCCAGAUUGAACGCUGUGCGGAAUUAACUUUACACAUGCAAGUCGAACGGCAGCACGGACUUCGGUCUGGUGGCGAGUGGCAGACAGGUGAUAAUGUCAUCGGAACGUGCCCUAGUAGCGGGGGAUAACUACGCGAAAGCGUAGCUAAUAUACGCCCAUGGAAAGCAGAGGAGGGGACCUUCGGGCCUCGCAUAAUGGAAGCGGCCGAUAUCGGAUUGGCUGGUUGGUGGGGUAACGGCUCGCAAGGCGGCGACGAUCCGUAGCUGGUUUGAGAGGACGACCAGCCACACUGGGACACAGACAGCCCGGAACUCCUGGGAGAGGCCAGCAGGGGUGAAGAUUUUGGACUAUUGGAAACCACAGUCCAGCCAUCCCGCGUGUGCGAUGGAAGCGCUGGGUUUGUAAAGCACUUUUGGCGGGAAAGAAACGGCCCAGGAUACGCUCACCCAUGCAACUGGUAAUGCCUGCAGAAUAAGCACCGGCUAACUACGUGCCAGCAGCCGCGGUAAUACGUAGAAGUGCAAGCGUUAAUCGGAAUUACUGGGCGUAAAGCGUGCGCAGGCGGUUCGGAAAGAAAGAUGUAAAUCCCGGAAGCAACUUUGGAACUGCAUUUUUAACUACUGAGCUAAAGUGUGUCAGAGGGAGGUGGAAUUCCGCCCGUGUAGCGGUGAAAUGCGUGGAUAUGCGGAGAACACCGAUGUGAAGGCAACCUCCUGGGAUAACACUGACGCUCAUGCACGAAAGCGUGGGGAGCAAACGGGAUUGGGCUCGCCCUGGUAGUCACCUUUAAAGCGGUAUCAACUAGCUAUUUGGGGCCUUCGAGGCCUUGGUAGCUUAGCUAACGCGUGAAAGUUUGACCGCCUGGAAGUACGGUCGCAAGAUUAAAACUCAAGGAAUUGUGAGGACCCGCACAAGCGGUGGAUGAUGUGGAUUAAUUCGAUGCAACGCGAAAAACCUUACCUACCCUUGACCAUAUGCUGGAAUCCCGAAGAGAUUUAGGAGUGCUCGCAGAGAACCGGGACACAGGUGCUGCAUGGCUGUCGUCAGCUCGUGUCGUGAGAUGUUGGGUUAAGUCCGCAACGAGCGCAACCCUUGUCAUUGGAUUGCUACGAGGGCACUCUAAUGAGACUGCCGGUGACAAACCGGAGGAAGGUGGGGAUGACGUCAAGUCCUCAUGGCCCUUAUGGGUGAGGCUUCCCCACGUCAUCAAUGGUCGGGACAGGGGUCGCCAACCCGCGAGAGGGUAAUCACGAAAUUGAUCGUAGUCCGGAUCAUGAUCUGCAACUCGACUGCGUGAAGUCAGAAUCGCUAGUAAUCGCGGAUCAGCAUGUCGCGGUGAAUACGUUUCCGGGUCUUGUACACACCGCCCGUACACCAUGGGAGUGGGUUUUACAAGAAGUGAUGGCCUAACCCUUAAGGAGGGCGAUUACCACGGUAAGUUCAUGACUGGGGUGAAGUCGUAACAUUAG